AGUACUAUGGCUCAGUUGGUAGGGCAUUAUGCUAACAAUGCAAAGGUUGUGGGUUUGAUCCCAGGGAACUA
This 71-nucleotide transfer RNA is filed under the name Anguilla anguilla (European eel). RNAcentral describes it as "tRNA-OTHER". The record is from RNAcentral. Lineage: Eukaryota; Metazoa; Chordata; Actinopteri; Anguilliformes; Anguillidae.